RNAcentral lists this ribosomal RNA (442 nucleotides) under uncultured bacterium. RNAcentral describes it as "partial 16S ribosomal RNA". It matches the Rfam family "Bacterial small subunit ribosomal RNA", at positions 338 to 795 of the family's 1533-position model. The record is from RNAcentral.
CCUACGGGUGGCAGCAGUGGGGAAUAUUGGGCAAUGGACGCAAGUCUGACCCAGCAACGCCGCGUGAAGGAAGAAGGCUUUCGGGUUGUAAACUUCUUUUAAGGGGGAAGAGCAGAAGACGGUACCCCUUGAAUAAGCCACGGCUAACUACGUGCCAGCAGCCGCGGUAAUACGUAGGUGGCAAGCGUUGUCCGGAUUUACUGGGUGUAAAGGGCGUGCAGCCGGAGAGACAAGUCAGAUGUGAAAUCCACGGGCUCAACCCGUGAACUGCAUUUGAAACUGCGUGUCUUGAGUGAUGGAGAGGCAGGCGGAAUUCCCAGUGUAGCGGUGAAAUGCGUAGAUAUUGGGAGGAACACCAGUGGCGAAGGCGGCCUGCUGGACAUUAACUGACGCUGAGGCGCGAAAGCGUGGGGAGCAAACAGGAUUAGAUACCCGAGUAGUC